GGGGCCGUAGCUCAGCUGGGAGAGCGCUGCGUUCGCAAUGCAGAGGUCAGGGGUUCGAUCCCCCUCGGCUCCA
RNAcentral lists this transfer RNA (73 nucleotides) under Candidatus Saccharimonadota bacterium. Its description in RNAcentral is "tRNA-Ala". It matches the Rfam family "tRNA". Rfam says of the family: Transfer RNA (tRNA) molecules are approximately 80 nucleotides in length. Their secondary structure includes four short double-helical elements and three loops (D, anti-codon, and T loops). Lineage: Bacteria; Candidatus Saccharimonadota. The record is from RNAcentral. RNAcentral also lists the same sequence under 3 other names.